This 305-nucleotide ribosomal RNA is filed under the name uncultured bacterium. Its description in RNAcentral is "bacterial SSU rRNA". It matches the Rfam family "Bacterial small subunit ribosomal RNA", at positions 337 to 659 of the family's 1533-position model. The record is from RNAcentral.
CCCUCCGGGGGGCAGCAGUGGGGAAUAUUGCACAAUGGGGGAAACCCUGAUGCAGCAACUCCUCUUUCUUUCUGCCGGCCUUCGGGUUGUAAAGCUCUGUCUUCAGGGACGAUAAUGACGGUACCUGAGGAGGAAGCCACGGCUAACUACGUGCCAGCAGCCGCGGUAAUACGUAGGUGGCGAGCGUUGUCCGGAUUUACUGGGCGUAAAGGGAGCGUAGGCGGACUUUUAAGUGAGAUGUGAAAUACUCGGGCUCAACUUGAGUGCUGCAUUUCAAACUGGAAGUCUAGAGUGCAGGAGAGGAG